GAUGAACGCUAGCGGCAGGCUUAAUACAUGCAAGUCGAGGGGAGCAGCUUUAUAGCAAUAUAGAGGCUGGCGACCGGCAAACGGGUGCGGAACACGUACACACCUUCCUUGAAUAGGGGGAUAGCCCAUAGAAAUGUGGAUUAAUACCCCGUAAUAUAGCGUGUGGCAUCACACUGUUAUUACAGUUUCGACGAUUCGAGAUGGGUGUGCGGCUGAUUAGUAGUUGGCGGGGUAAAGGCCCACCAAGCCUUCGAUCAGUAGCUGAUGUGAGAGCAUGACAGCCACACGGGCACUGAGACACGGGCCCGACUCCUACGGGAGGCAGCAGUAAGGAAUAUGGUCAAUGGACGCAAGUCUGAACCAGCCAUGCCGCGUGAAGGAUGAAGGUCCUCUGGAUGUAAACUUCUUUUAUAGGGGGCGAAAAAAGGUCUUUCUAGAUCACUUGACAGUACCCUUGAAUAAGCACCGGCUAACUCCGUGCCAGCAGCCGCGGUAAUACGGAGGGUGCAAGCGUAUCCGGAUUCACUGGGUUUAAAAGGGUGCGUAGGCGGGUAGGUAAGUCAGAGGUGAAAUCUGGAGCUUAACUCCAGAACUGCCUUUGAUACUAUCUAUCUUGAAUAUGGUGGAGGUAACGGAAUAUGUCAUGUAGCGGUGGAAAUGCAUAAGA
Molecule: ribosomal RNA, 667 nt
Filed under: uncultured Lake Michigan sediment bacterium LMBA29
Lineage: Bacteria; Pseudomonadati; Bacteroidota
Description: bacterial SSU rRNA
Rfam family: Bacterial small subunit ribosomal RNA
Source: RNAcentral